AGCCUUGAAAGCUUACUAGCUAAAGCACCCGGCCUUGUAAAUCGGGAGAGAAGGUUAAACCCCUUCUCAAGGCUA
This 75-nucleotide transfer RNA is filed under the name Phormosoma bursarium. Its description in RNAcentral is "tRNA-Thr". It matches the Rfam family "tRNA". From Rfam's summary of the family: Transfer RNA (tRNA) molecules are approximately 80 nucleotides in length. Their secondary structure includes four short double-helical elements and three loops (D, anti-codon, and T loops). The record is from RNAcentral. Lineage: Eukaryota; Metazoa; Echinodermata; Echinoidea; Echinothurioida; Phormosomatidae.